GCUUGUCUCAAAGAUUAAGCCAUGCAUGUCUCAGUAUAAGCUUCUAUACGGCGAAACUGCGAAUGGCUCAUUAAAACAAUUAUAGUUUAUUUGGUGGUCAACUCUUACAUGGAUAACAAUUUUAAUUCUAGUGCUAAUACAUGCGCCCAAACCCAACUUCUUGGAAGGGUUGCGUUUAUUCGAUACAGAACCAACCCAGGCUCCGCUUGGCCUUGAAGUGAUUCACAAUAACCGAACGAAUCGCAUAGCUGCCGCUGGGGAUAGACCAUUCAAGUUUCUGACCUAUCAGCUAUCGUCGGUAGGGUAUUGGCCUACGGCUAACGGAGAAUUAGGGUUCGAUUCCGGAGAGGGAGCCUGAGAAACGGCUACCACAUCUAAGGAAGGCAGCAGG
Molecule: ribosomal RNA, 391 nt
Filed under: Gyrodinium helveticum
Lineage: Eukaryota; Dinophyceae; Gymnodiniales; Gymnodiniaceae
Description: partial small subunit ribosomal RNA
Rfam family: Eukaryotic small subunit ribosomal RNA
Source: RNAcentral